This 301-nucleotide ribosomal RNA is filed under the name uncultured bacterium. RNAcentral's name for it is "partial 16S ribosomal RNA". It matches the Rfam family "Bacterial small subunit ribosomal RNA", at positions 509 to 807 of the family's 1533-position model. The record is from RNAcentral.
CAGUAGCCGCGGGAAUACGGAGGGUGCAAGCGUUAAUCGGAAUUACUGGGCGUAAAGCGCACGCAGGCGGUCUGACAAGUCAGAUGUGAAAUCCCCGGGCUUAACCUGGGAACUGCAUUUGAAACUGUCAGGCUGGAGUCUUGUAGAGGGGGGUGGAAUUCCAGGUGUAGCGGUGAAAUGCGUAGAGAUCUGGAGGAAUACCGGUGGCGAAGGCGGCACCCUGGACAAAGACUGACGCUCAGGUGCGAAAGCGUGGGGAGCAAACAGGAUUAGAUACCCCGGUAGUCCCUGUCUCUUAUAC